GCAGCAAAGAACUUUUUUUUUUUUUUUUUUUUUUUUUUAAUGAAAAAACUAAAGUCAUGUAAAAGUUAAAACCAUGUAUUUAUUCAUUGAAGUUUAGUUCCGAGUUGGCCAGGUCCGCUGAGGGGUGAUUCUGGGACCUGGCUGGCUGUCCACGACUGGAGCGGGAUCCUCUGAUGCACUGAAUGGCAGAGCGUAGGAGAGAGAAUGUAAUUCUGCUCCUUAGCCAGGACAGUGUUCUACUGUAGCUUUCAUUAGAUUUGAUUGCCAAGUUUGAGGCAAGCCUUUUGUAGAACACAGUGGCCUGGUUGGCCAUACCACCUGUGGCUGACAUCACCAAAGGAGUGAAUGAGGCGUGUUCGAUAUCUCUGACGCGUUGUUCGUAUUGUCUUUUCUUUUCAAGUUCAUGCUUCCUGUAGCAGUUGGUGUGUUGGUUUGAUUUUGCAUGGGGAUUAAACAGAACUGCACUUUGCUCAACGUAAUCAUUACGCAUGCAUGGUAAACACUUCAUACAUAGAAGCUGCUACGAAGCAUAAGCAAGGCAAGCAGGGGUCCUUGGGCACAGAUUUAGCACCACAGCAAAACACAAGUAGAGAGAGAUGCCUUCGCUUGGCGAUUUGUAUAACAAUUAGGAAAUAUGUGUGGGCGUAAGAUCACGAUUUAAUUACAUUCCAUUGGUUUUGUGAGCAAUCAACAUUCCAUUUUGAAAUGACUUCAUGACAAGAGUGCUCAGACGGUGGUUCCAAAAGAACGGCGGCUGAUUCAUGAGACUAAGUAAGUACGUGGUAUCUGAUCCGAGAACUGUGUGGCCUGUUACAAUCCGAGGGACUUGUGUGUAUCCGAUCCGAGGGACUUGUUGCUUGAGUGUGUAUUCGGACUUGUUGCUUGAGUGUGUAUUAAUGGAUAGUGCUUUCAAUGGUUUAACUAAUUUCUUAUGAGAUUAACUUGUCGCCUGAGUGUGUAUCCGAUCCAAGCCUCAAGUUAAUGAAUAAAUCUACAGAGCUGAUGUUUUAUCUAGCUGUCUCUGUCUACAGUAUAUGCAGAGAGGUAGCCUCUUCUUUUUCUUUUUUUUAUCACAAUAAGAUAAAAUACUGUUUUAACGUUCAAUGAGAUAAAUACGGUAAAUAAUAAA
Halichondria panicea is the source of this 1129-nucleotide long non-coding RNA. RefSeq lists it as uncharacterized. The transcript is spliced from 2 exons. The record is from RefSeq and is a predicted model, not a curated record. Lineage: Eukaryota; Metazoa; Porifera; Demospongiae; Suberitida; Halichondriidae.